GAUGAACGCUGGCGGCGUGCCUAAUACAUGCAAGUCGAGCGAACAGACGAGGAGCUUGCUCCUCUGACGUUAGCGGCGGACGGGUGAGUAACACGUGGAUAACCUACCUAUAAGACUGGGAUAACUUCGGGAAACCGGAGCUAAUACCGGAUAAUAUAUUGAACCGCAUGGUUCAAUAGUGAAAGACGGUUUUGCUGUCACUUAUAGAUGGAUCCGCGCCGCAUUAGCUAGUUGGUAAGGUAACGGCUUACCAAGGCAACGAUGCGUAGCCGACCUGAGAGGGUGAUCGGCCACACUGGAACUGAGACACGGUCCAGACUCCUACGGGAGGCAGCAGUAGGGAACCUUCCGCGAUGGGCGAAAGCCUGACGGAGCAACGCCGCGUGAGUGGUGAAGGUCUUCGGAUCGUAAAACUCUGUUAUUAGGGAAGAACAAAUGUGUAAGUAACUAUGCACGUCUUGACGGUACCUAAUCAGAAAGCCACGGCUAACUACGUG
RNAcentral lists this ribosomal RNA (497 nucleotides) under uncultured bacterium. RNAcentral describes it as "partial 16S ribosomal RNA". It matches the Rfam family "Bacterial small subunit ribosomal RNA", at positions 28 to 507 of the family's 1533-position model. The record is from RNAcentral.